RNA transcript from Glycine soja, 1315 nucleotides. RefSeq lists it as uncharacterized. Lineage: Eukaryota; Viridiplantae; Streptophyta; Magnoliopsida; Fabales; Fabaceae. The transcript is spliced from 3 exons. The record is from RefSeq and is a predicted model, not a curated record.
UAGUUUUUUAGUAAGAGAACAAUGACAUUAAUUGAUAUUAAAAUGCAAACUUGUAGAUUAUGGUUGAACCAGAAGAUUGCAUUAGGCUUUAAGUAGAAAUGUUUAUCGUUGAUGAGGAUUGUUAUUGGUAUUUUUUAAAUAUGACCUUAAUCAAAUGUGACACAAGAUAAUGAACACUAGCAGGUCGAGCAUAUUUAUUACAUCUUGUAGGCUGCACACUAUAUGUUGAAAAGAGUACCACACUUAUGAGUGCUUGGGCGCAUUUUGUGACCUUAAUCACUCUAGAGGCUUUUCAUGGGGAGCGGCUGCACUAGUGCAUAUGUAUGACAAUCUGAAUAUUGUGUUCAAGCAUACCACAAAACAUCUUUCUUGGAUCUACGAGCAUUUCCCUACGAUUGCAAAUAUUAUUGUUGAUGAGGAUUACCAUGAGAAGAAACCACAUGCUUGUCGCUGGAAGUGUGGGAAGACAUUACCAGUGACGACCUAUCACAAGCGCUUGGAUAGGAAGAUGCCAAAUGCUAUUUGUUGGAUACCUUAUGAUUAUCACCAUGCUUUCAAAGAAUUUAAGCUCAUUUCAUUAUUUUUUAGACAUAUCGGAUGGGGUUCAUCUAUUGUUAGACACCAACCAAAGAAGGUAUUACGAUAGUUUGGUUAUGUUCAAUCCAUUCCUCUACUCCCUACUGCUCCAUCUCUAUCCACAGAGGAGAUUGAUGAUAGAUGGCUUCAGUUUUCUCAAUACCUUGCACCUGUUGGAUAGUUUUGUAGUUUUCCUGAUCAGUGUGCAGUAGGCUACAUAGAGUGGUUUUAUAUGAUAUUUCAUCCAUUCAUGAGUUCGCCACAGCUUGGGGAGGCUCUUAGGCUUUCACCCAUGGUGCAUGAUGAUACAUAUAUUAUACCAAAUCCACCUAUGUUUUUUGUUCACAUAGUAGUUAUGCCACAACUAGCUACAACUACAACUAUUGAUACAAACAUGCCUUGACAUGCAAUGGCCGUUUGCCAAAAGAUAGCAGAAAACUUGGAACAUAUGGUAAAUAUGAGGAUGGUCACUGUUGGAACUAAUGCAUACGCUAUAACUGAGCACUAUUUAACAUUAUCCAAGGUUGUCAUUGAGCAAGGAAAUGUUUAUGUUUGCUCUAGACAAAGGAGGGAUACACAGGACAAAUCUCAUGGUGGACUAGGAUCAUGAUAAUUGGGAUUGACUGAAUACUAUUUAAUAUUUGUAUACACUAUGACUGAGCACUAUUUAGUAUUUGUAUUAUUUGAUUGACGAUGUAUAUGAGUAUGGUUAACAUAUGCAUUUAUUUAGUAUUUGACU